Molecule: ribosomal RNA, 636 nt
Filed under: Staphylococcus epidermidis
Lineage: Bacteria; Bacillati; Bacillota; Bacilli; Caryophanales; Staphylococcaceae
Description: partial 23S ribosomal RNA
Rfam family: Bacterial large subunit ribosomal RNA
Source: RNAcentral
GAGUGAAAGAGAACUUGAAACCGUGUGCUUACAAGUAGUCAGAGCCCGUUAAUGGGUGAUGGCGUGCCUUUUGUAGAAUGAACCGGCGAGUUACGAUCUGAUGCAAGGUUAAGCAGCAAAUGUGGAGCCGCAGCGAAAGCGAGUCUGAAUAGGGCGUUGAGUAUUUGGUCGUAGACCCGAAACCAGGUGAUCUACCCUUGGUCAGGUUGAAGUUCAGGUAACACUGAAUGGAGGACCGAACCGACUUACGUUGAAAAGUGAGCGGAUGAACUGAGGGUAGCGGAGAAAUUCCAAUCGAACUUGGAGAUAGCUGGUUCUCUCCGAAAUAGCUUUAGGGCUAGCCUCAAGUGAUGAUUAUUGGAGGUAGAGCACUGUUUGGACGAGGGGCCCCUCUCGGGUUACCGAAUUCAGACAAACUCCGAAUGCCAAUUAAUUUAACUUGGGAGUCAGAACAUGGGUGAUAAGGUCCGUGUUCGAAAGGGAAACAGCCCAGACCACCAGCUAAGGUCCCAAAAUAUAUGUUAAGUGGAAAAGGAUGUGGCGUUGCCCAGACAACUAGGAUGUUGGCUUAGAAGCAGCCAUCAUUUAAAGAGUGCGUAAUAGCUCACUAGUCGAGUGACACUGCGCCGAAAAUGU